This 253-nucleotide ribosomal RNA is filed under the name uncultured bacterium. Its description in RNAcentral is "partial 16S ribosomal RNA". It matches the Rfam family "Bacterial small subunit ribosomal RNA", at positions 524 to 776 of the family's 1533-position model. The record is from RNAcentral.
UACGUAGGCAGCAAGCGUUGUUCGGAAUUACUGGGCGCAAAGAGUGUGUAGGCGGUGUUCUAAGUCUGGUGUGAAAUCUCCCGGCUCAACUGGGAGGGUGCGCUAGAAACUGGAAUGCUAGAGGAUGGGAGAGGUAAGCGGAAUUCCUGGUGUAGCGGUGAAAUGCGUAGAUAUCAGGAGGAACACCUGUGGUGUAGACAGCUUACUGGACCAUUUCUGACGCUGAGACACGAAAGCGUGGGUAGCAAACAGG